RNAcentral lists this ribosomal RNA (253 nucleotides) under uncultured bacterium. Its description in RNAcentral is "partial 16S ribosomal RNA". It matches the Rfam family "Bacterial small subunit ribosomal RNA", at positions 524 to 776 of the family's 1533-position model. The record is from RNAcentral.
UACGGAGGGUGCAAGCGUUAAUCGGAAUUACUGGGCGUAAAGCGCGCGUAGGCGGGUUUACAAGUCAGAAGUGAAAUCCCCGGGCUCAACCUGGGAAUAGCUUUUGAUACUGUGGACCUUGAGUUCGGGAGAGGGUGGCGGAAUUCCAGGUGUAGGAGUGAAAUCCGUAGAUAUCUGGAGGAACAUCAGUGGCGAAGGCGGCCACCUGGCCCGAUACUGACGCUGAGGUGCGAAAGCGUGGGUAGCAAACAGG